UACAGAGGGGGCAAGCGUUGUUCGGAAUUACUGGGCGUAAAGGGCGCGUAGGCGGCCUGUUAAGUCGAACGUGAAAUCCCCGGGCUCAACCCGGGAACUGCGUCCGAUACUGGCAGGCUUGAAUCCGGGAGAGGGAUGCGGAAUUCCAGGUGUAGCGGUGAAAUGCGUAGAUAUCUGGAGGAAUACCGGUGGCGAAGGCGGCAUCCUGGACCGGCAUUGACGCUGAGGCGCGAAAGCCAGGGGAGCAAACGGG
RNAcentral lists this ribosomal RNA (253 nucleotides) under uncultured bacterium. RNAcentral describes it as "partial 16S ribosomal RNA". It matches the Rfam family "Bacterial small subunit ribosomal RNA", at positions 524 to 776 of the family's 1533-position model. The record is from RNAcentral.